GGUGUAGCUGAAACUUGGAAGGCGAUUAGCGUGGGGAUGAUGGGCGUGGAAAGUGUCGCUGACAAUGGACGCGCGCGUGAACGGCGUGUUGGGUUGUGGGUUUAGUUGCCUCUUCUGUUCAAAGUUUCAGAAUUUGUGAGAGGCGAAAGAUGCCUUCACAUGGGUCUUGUUCCUUUUCAAUUCAGAAACUUGUGCGACUUGUCUAUCAUUUUUUUAAAAAAUGUAUUCCCUGGAGCUGGAUGUUCAUCACUGUACGUUGUGACGAUGGUUCUGCUUGAUUCUUG
RNAcentral lists this long non-coding RNA (284 nucleotides) under Phoenix dactylifera (date palm). RNAcentral describes it as "long non-coding RNA (PDAC_LNC003801)". Lineage: Eukaryota; Viridiplantae; Streptophyta; Magnoliopsida; Arecales; Arecaceae. The record is from RNAcentral.